GACGAACGCUGGCGGCGUGCUUAACACAUGCAAGUCGAACGGAAAGGCCCUGCUUUUGUGGGGUGCUCGAGUGGCGAACGGGUGAGUAACACGUGAGUAACCUGCCCUUGACUUUGGGAUAACUUCAGGAAACUGGGGCUAAUACCGGAUAGGAGCUCCUGCUGCAUGGUGGGGGUUGGAAAGUUUCGGCGGCUGGGGAUGGACUCGCGGCUUAUCAGCUUGUUGGUGGGGUAGUGGCUUACCAAGGCUUUGACGGGUAGCCGGCCUGAGAGGGUGACCGGCCACAUUGGGACUGAGAUACGGCCCAGACUCCUACGGGAGGCAGCAGUGGGGAAUAUUGCACAAUGGGCGGAAGCCUGAUGCAGCAACGCCGCGUGCGGGAUGACGGCCUUCGGGUUGUAAACCGCUUCCGCCUGUGACGAAGCGUGAGUGACGGUAAUGGGUAAAGAAGCACCGGCUAACUACGUGCCAGCAGCCGCGGUGAUACGUAGGGUGCGAGCGUUGUCCGGAUUUAUUGGGCGUAAAGGGCUCGUAGGUGGUUGAUCGCGUCGGAAGUGUAAUCUUGGGGCUUAACCCUGAGCGUGCUUUCGAUACGGGUUGACUUGAGGAAGGUAGGGGAGAAUGGAAUUCCCGGUGGAGCGGUGGAAUGCGCAGAUAUCAGGAGGAACACCAGUGGCGAAGGCGGUUCUCUGGGCCUUUCCUGACGCUGAGGAGCGAAAGCGUGGGGAGCGAACAGGCUUAGAUACCCUGGUAGUCCACGCUGUAAACGGUGGGUACUAGGUGUGGGGUCCAUUCCACGGGUUCCGUGCCGUAGCUAACGCUUUAAGUACCCCGCCUGGGGAGUACGGCCGCAAGGCUAAAACUCAAAGGAAUUGACGGGGCCCCGCACAAGCGGCGGAGCAUGCGGAUUAAUUCGAUGCAACGCGUAGAACCUUACCUGGGUUUGACAUGGAUCGGGAGUGCUCAGAGAUGGGUGUGCCUCUUUUGGGGUCGGUUCACAGGUGGUGCAUGGCUGUCGUCAGCUCGUGUCGUGAGAUGUUGGGUUAAGUCCCGCAACGAGCGCAACCCUUGUUCACUGUUGCCAGCACGUUAUGGUGGGGACUCAGUGGAGACCGCCGGGGUCAACUCGGAGGAAGGUGGGGAUGACGUCAAGUCAUCAUGCCCCUUAUGUCCAGGGCUUCACGCAUGCUACAAUGGCUGGUACAGAGAGUGGCGAGCCUGUGAGGGUGAGCGAAUCUCGGAAAGCCGGUCUCGGUUCGGAUUGGGGUCUGCAACUCGACCUCAUGAAGUCGGAGUCGCUAGUAAUCGCAGAUCAGCAACGCUGCGGUGAAUACGUUCCCGGGGCU
RNAcentral lists this ribosomal RNA (1346 nucleotides) under uncultured bacterium. RNAcentral describes it as "partial 16S ribosomal RNA". It matches the Rfam family "Bacterial small subunit ribosomal RNA", at positions 28 to 1381 of the family's 1533-position model. The record is from RNAcentral.